CAUGCUUAGUACGGCGAGUGAAGCGGCAAAAGCUCAAAUUUGAAAUCGGCCAUCAGGUCGAGUUGUAAUUUGUAGAUUGUACCUUGAGAGCGGAUCAAAGUCUGUUGGAACACAGCGCCUUAGAGGGUGACAGCCCCGUAGGAUCUAUUUUCAUUGUAAGGUACUUUCGAAGAGUCGAGUUGUUUGGGAAUGCAGCUCUAAGUGGGAGGUAAAUUCCUUCUAAAGCUAAAUAUUGACGAGAGACCGAUAGCGAACAAGUACUGUGAAGGAAAGAUGAAAAGCACUUUGAAAAGAGAGUGAAAAAGUACGUGAAAUUGUUAAAAGGGAAGGGUAUUGAAUCAGACGUGGUGCUUGUUGUUCAGCCAUGCUUCGGGAUGGUGUACUCAGCAGUACUAGGCCAAGGUGGGGUGUUUGGGAGUGAAAAAGGAAUAGGAAUGUGGCUCCUCGGAGUGUUAUAACCUGUUUUCAUAGCUCCUCAGGCGCCUCAGGACUGCGCUUCGGCAAGGACUUUGGCAUAAUGAUUCUAUACCGCCCGUCUUGAA
This 542-nucleotide ribosomal RNA is filed under the name Geotrichum sp. YM24346. RNAcentral's name for it is "eukaryotic LSU rRNA". It matches the Rfam family "Eukaryotic large subunit ribosomal RNA", at positions 73 to 658 of the family's 3401-position model. Lineage: Eukaryota; Fungi; Ascomycota; Dipodascomycetes; Dipodascales; Dipodascaceae. The record is from RNAcentral.